Long non-coding RNA from Glycine soja, 1000 nucleotides. RefSeq lists it as uncharacterized. The transcript has 5 exons. The record is from RefSeq and is a predicted model, not a curated record. Lineage: Eukaryota; Viridiplantae; Streptophyta; Magnoliopsida; Fabales; Fabaceae.
CUUGCCAGUAUUCAAGCAUUUCACUUCUAUACACAAACUACAAUUAAAAGGAAAAGUGUAUUUUUAUGGUUACCGCUCGAUCUUUUUACUUCACCUAAAAGAUUUCUUUAUACCAAAAGCACUUUGGGCUCUUGUGAAUAAAUCUUCUUCAAACGUGCAGUCAUAAAUAACUUUUCAAGUAUUAUAAUUUUUAAUCUAAACUGAAACAUGGUAUAACACUUCUAUCUCAUUCAAUGUUGUACUCAAGCAUCCCUGUGCUGCAAUACUUAGGUAAUGAGAACUGAUUUGGUUUACUUGUUCAACUGAUUUGAUUAGCAUUCAAUUGAUACUUUAUAUGUUUUCUUUCUUCGGAAAAGAAAAGCAUGAUGACUGUUUAGGAUAUAUUUGAUGUAUUGAGCCACCUUUAUAUUCUAACUUCAUACAUAAUCUUAGAAAAACCAGCUGCUUAGUCGCUUAGAUGACUUCAUGGUUCCCUUCUCCAAUGGGCCUAAUGUGGUCAUUGAUGCAUAUGCCAUAGUUGCAUCUGUCAACUUCAUUUUAAGGGAAGCUUUUUUCUUUUUCUUAUACUCUUACUGGGUUCACAAUUAUUUUUCAAUUCUCAUGGUAUUUUUCUUUUUUUCAUUUUUUUUUCUGUGUGUGAUGCUCUUUUCUAAAUUGUUAAAGCCUAUAUCUUCAUUAUUAAUUCUAUGUAAGGUAAAUUAUCUAUAAUUUGUUACAUAACAGAUUACAUGAAGCCUGAUCCAGAGACAUACAAUUGGGUUAUUCAAGCUUAUACUAGAGCUGAAUCUUAUGACAGUAUUAAUGCCAUGGACCCUAAAUCAUGGAAGAUCCUACAACUGUUGUGAUUGAGACAGAUUUUCAAUGGUGUAUUUCUCAAAGUGACCCAACUAAUAUUAUAGGGACUACAUAACAACACCUUGCAUAUUCAGGGAGUAUUGAUUAAAAUGGAGUUUACUCAUUUCUCAGAUCGUGAUGGCGGCGCAGCUAAUCCGUGAUCGAG